CCCUUAGAUGUUCUGGGCCGCACGCGCGCUACACUGACUACACCAACAAGCAUUCACCUUGACCGAAAGGUCUGGGAAAUCUUAAAAAGGUAGUCGUGAUGGGGAUAGAUUAUUGUAAUUUUUAAUCUUCAACGAGGAAUUCCUAGUAAACGCAAGUCAUCGGCUUGCAUUGAUUACGUCCCUGCCCUUUGUACACACCGCCCGUCGCAUCUACCGAUUGAAUGGAGAGGCAAAAUCUAUGGAUUGUGACACGUUUGGGUUAAACUAAAUGUAGUUGUGAGAAGUGGAUUAAACCUUUCCAUUUAGAGGAAGAUGAAGUCGUAACA
This 326-nucleotide ribosomal RNA is filed under the name uncultured eukaryote. RNAcentral describes it as "partial 18S ribosomal RNA". It matches the Rfam family "Eukaryotic small subunit ribosomal RNA", at positions 1470 to 1796 of the family's 1831-position model. The record is from RNAcentral.